GUAGAAAUAAUUUCUGAUCCUUCUGAUCCUCGAGGGACGUUAGGGGUGACGUGCUCUUCCGACUCGAGGCCUUUCUUCGGACGUGAUGGAGAGCGGAUUGUAUUUAUUAUUUCUCAAAUCGCACACUCACUUAAUGAGAUAGAAGUUCUCGUGAUCAUGUUCAGAGAAGUUUGCUAGAUUGAUCGCCACCACACCGCCCUCGCUAUUUUUUGUAUAAAAUAAUAAUAAUAAUAAUACC
RNAcentral lists this long non-coding RNA (238 nucleotides) under Elaeis guineensis (African oil palm). RNAcentral describes it as "long non-coding RNA (EGUI_LNC021080)". Lineage: Eukaryota; Viridiplantae; Streptophyta; Magnoliopsida; Arecales; Arecaceae. The record is from RNAcentral.